ACGACAAAAGCAAAAUCAUAGAGAUAUGGUGACGCAAAACUAUAGGGUCUUAUGAAUUAUCUAUAAGAUAGCCAGCUGCCAA
Molecule: non-coding RNA, 82 nt
Filed under: pig gut metagenome
Description: Cyclic di-GMP-I riboswitch
Rfam family: c-di-GMP-I riboswitch aptamer
About the family: GEMM was predicted in a large-scale screen for bacterial structured RNA regulatory elements.
Source: RNAcentral